RNAcentral lists this ribosomal RNA (291 nucleotides) under uncultured bacterium. RNAcentral describes it as "partial 16S ribosomal RNA". It matches the Rfam family "Bacterial small subunit ribosomal RNA", at positions 335 to 642 of the family's 1533-position model. The record is from RNAcentral.
GUACCUACGGGAGGCAGCAGUCGAGAAUCAUUCACAAUGGGGGAAACCCUGAUGGUGCGACGCCGCGUGAGUGAAGAAGUAUUUCGGUAUGUAAAGCUCUAUCAGCAGGGAAGAAGAAAGACGGUACCUGACUAAGAAGCCCCGGCUAACUACGUGCCAGCAGCCGCGGUAAUACGUAGGGGGCAAGCGUUAUCCGGAUUUACUGGGUGUAAAGGGAGCGUAGACGGCUGUGCAAGUCUGAAGUGAAAGCACAGGGCUCAACCCUGGGACUGCUUUGGAAACUGUGGAGCU